Non-coding RNA from Silurus meridionalis, 746 nucleotides. Lineage: Eukaryota; Metazoa; Chordata; Actinopteri; Siluriformes; Siluridae. The record is from the annotation of a RefSeq genome assembly.
AUGUGUAUCUGCUGCACGGGUCUGAAAGCUCCCUCUGUGUCUCUGCUCCCUCCGUCUCCUCUGCAACUGUCUGAGAAAUCGUUCUUGCUGCUCUGCCUGCUGUCUGACUACUCUCCACAGGGGGCACUGGUGAGCUGGAUAGUGGAUGGCUCAGAGGUGAAGGACGGGGUUCUGACCAGUGCAGAAGAAGAGAAGAAUGGUCGUUACAGCCGCAGCAGCACCCUGACCCUCAGCAAAGACCUCUGGGAGAAAGGGGAGGAGUUUAUCUGUAUGGUCUCUCAUAGCAACGUCGUUCAUCCAGUGAUGUUCAGAAAGAAGGCUCCGACUGUGUCUCUGCUCUUUCAGUCCCCCCUGCAGUCGUGUGAGGACUCGCUGCUCUGCCUGCUGUCUGACUACUCUCCACAGGGGGCACUGGUGAGCUGGAUAGUGGACGGCUCAGAGGUGAAGGACGGGGUUCUGACCAGUGCAGAAGAAGAGAAGAACGGCUGUUACAGCCGCAGCAGCAUCCUGACCCUCAGCAAAGACCUCUGGGAGAAAGGGGAGGAGUUUAUCUGUAAGGUCUCCCAUAGCAACGUCAUUCAUCCAGUCACAUUCAGAAAGAGUCAGUGUUAAGACUAGAGGAUUCAAGAUAGAGUUUAACAUCGAGCUGCUUCUGAUCUACACACUGCUGAUGUUUCUGUAUUUCCUCUCGUCACUGUGCUGUUGCUCUUCCUGUAGUUUCUGCUGAAAUAAAGCUGAGUUUUGGA